RNAcentral lists this ribosomal RNA (380 nucleotides) under Escherichia coli. Its description in RNAcentral is "bacterial SSU rRNA". It matches the Rfam family "Bacterial small subunit ribosomal RNA", at positions 1 to 377 of the family's 1533-position model. The record is from RNAcentral. Lineage: Bacteria; Pseudomonadati; Pseudomonadota; Gammaproteobacteria; Enterobacterales; Enterobacteriaceae.
AAAUUGAAGAGUUUGAUCAUGGCUCAGAUUGAACGCUGGCGGCAGGCCUAACACAUGCAAGUCGAACGGUAACAGGAAGAAGCUUGCUUCUUUGCUGACGAGUGGCGGACGGGUGAGUAAUGUCUGGGAAACUGCCUGAUGGAGGGGGAUAACUACUGGAAACGGUAGCUAAUACCGCAUAACGUCGCAAGACCAAAGAGGGGGACCUUCGGGCCUCUUGCCAUCGGAUGUGCCCAGAUGGGAUUAGCUUGUUGGUGGGGUAACGGCUCACCAAGGCGACGAUCCCUAGCUGGUCUGAGAGGAUGACCAGCCACACUGGAACUGAGACACGGUCCAGACUCCUACGGGAGGCAGCAGUGGGGAAUAUUGCACAAUGGGCG